AAUAUUUGACAAUGGGCGAAAGCCUGAUCCAGCCAUGCCGCGUGUGUGAAGAAGGUCUUCGACUUGUAAAGCACUUUAAGUUGGGAGGAAGGGCUGUAGCUUAAUACUCUGCAAUUUUGACGUUACCAUCAGAAUAAGCACCGUCUAACUUCUUGCCAGCAGCCGCGGUAAUACGAAGGGUGCAAGCGUUAAUCGGAAUUACUGGGCGUAAAGCGGGCGUAGGUGGUUUGUCAAGUUGGAAGUGAAAGCCCCGGGCUCAACCUGGGAACGGCUUUCAAAACUGGCAAGCUAGAGUAUGGCAGAGGGUGGUGGAAUUUCCUGUGUAGCGGUGGAAUGCGUAGAUAUAGGAAGAAACACCAGUGGCGAAGGCGACUACCUGGACUGAUACUGACACUGAGGUGCGAAAGCGUGGGGAGCAAAC
This 421-nucleotide ribosomal RNA is filed under the name uncultured bacterium. RNAcentral's name for it is "partial 16S ribosomal RNA". It matches the Rfam family "Bacterial small subunit ribosomal RNA", at positions 360 to 773 of the family's 1533-position model. The record is from RNAcentral.